This 406-nucleotide ribosomal RNA is filed under the name uncultured bacterium. RNAcentral's name for it is "partial 16S ribosomal RNA". It matches the Rfam family "Bacterial small subunit ribosomal RNA", at positions 29 to 526 of the family's 1533-position model. The record is from RNAcentral.
AUUGAACGCUGGCGGCAGGCCUAACACAUGCAAGUCGAGCGAGCGGCGGACGGGUGAGUAAUGUCUGGGAAACUGCCUGAUGGCGGGGGAUAACUACUGGAAACGGUAGCUAAUACCGCAUACCAUCAGAUGUGCCCAGAUGGGAUUAGCUAGUAGGUGGGGUAACGGCUCACCUAGGCGACGAUCCCUAGCUGGUCUGAGAGGAUGACCAGCCACACUGGAACUGAGACACGGUCCAGACCCCGACGGGAGGCAGGAGGGGGGAAUAUUGCACAAUGGGCUCAAGCCUGAAGCAGCCAAGGCGCGGGUGUGAAGAAGGGCUUCGGGUUGUAAAGCCCUUUCAGCGGGGAGGCGUUACCCGACGAAAAAGCACCGGCUAACUCCGUGCCAGCAGCCGCGGUAAUAC